RNAcentral lists this unclassified non-coding RNA (484 nucleotides) under Artemisia absinthium. Its description in RNAcentral is "partial external transcribed spacer". The stretch from base 430 to 484 matches the Rfam family "Eukaryotic small subunit ribosomal RNA", at positions 1 to 55 of the family's 1831-position model. The record is from RNAcentral. Lineage: Eukaryota; Viridiplantae; Streptophyta; Magnoliopsida; Asterales; Asteraceae.
UCCGUAAAGGUGGAUGAGUGGUGUUUGGUUUGUUACGUGUGGUUGGCUGCGGCGUUUGCAACAACUUCCAUGCUUUCAGACCUCUUCAGUUGUGCGGCAAGGCUUGUAUCCCCUUGAGCGUGCUGUGGGUUUUCUGUGUUGGCUACCUAAUCAAUGGUAUCGGUUGGAUUGAUCAAAGUUUGAUUUCGUCUUUYGUCGCAUUCGCGGCGUGRGGUGAACCUCGAUGCGGUCUCUUUGAUCCACCUCGUUGAAGCACAUGCCUUGACGUUGUGGCACAUUGAGCAUUGCUUGGUCUCUUGUAUACGGAACAUAUAGUGGGCAUGGAUCUAACGAUUCUCGUUUGCCCUCAUAUUAGCGUAACGCUUCUCUAACACGACUUGCNCCACGUUUUAGCUCGUACGGACGUGGUGCUAUGUCGAAGAGGAAUGCUACCUGGUUGAUCCUGCCAGUAGUCAUAUGCUUGUCUCAAAGAUUAARCCAUGCA